UUCGUAAGGAGGAGGAAGGUGUGGACGACGUCAAGUCAUCAUGGCCCUUAUGCCCAGGGCGACACACGUGCUACAAUGGCAUAUACAAUGAGACGCAAUACCGCGAGGUGGAGCAAAUCUAUAAAAUAUGUCCCAGUUCGGAUUGUUCUCUGCAACUCGAGAGCAUGAAGCCGGAAUCGCUAGUAAUCGUAGAUCAGCCAUGCUACGGUGAAUACGUUCCCGGGUCUUGUACUCACCGCCCGUCACACCAUGGGAGUUGAUUUCACUCGAAGCCGGAAUACUAAACUAGUUACCGUCCACAGUGGAAUCAGCGACUGGGGUGAAGUCGUAACAAGGUAACCGUAGGAGAACCUGCGGUUGGAUCACCUCCUUUCUAG
This 377-nucleotide ribosomal RNA is filed under the name Campylobacter coli. Its description in RNAcentral is "bacterial SSU rRNA". It matches the Rfam family "Bacterial small subunit ribosomal RNA", at positions 1154 to 1533 of the family's 1533-position model. The record is from RNAcentral. Lineage: Bacteria; Pseudomonadati; Campylobacterota; Epsilonproteobacteria; Campylobacterales; Campylobacteraceae. RNAcentral also lists the same sequence under 1 other name.